Molecule: ribosomal RNA, 505 nt
Filed under: uncultured bacterium
Lineage: Bacteria
Description: partial 16S ribosomal RNA
Rfam family: Bacterial small subunit ribosomal RNA
Source: RNAcentral
GACGAACGCUGGCGGCGUGCCUAAUACAUGCAAGUAGAACGCACAGUUUAUACCGUAGCUUGCUACACCAUAAACUGUGAGUUGCGAACGGGUGAGUAACGCGUAGGCAACCUGCCUGGUAGCGGGGGAUAACUAUUGGAAACGAUAGCUAAUACCGCAUAAUAUUGAUUAUUGCAUGAUAAUUGAUUGAAAGAUGCUAUUGCAUCACUACCAGAUGGACCUGCGUUGUAUUAGCUAGUAGGUGAGGUAACGGCUCACCUAGGCGACGAUACAUAGCCGACCUGAGAGGGUGAUCGGCCACACUGGGACUGAGACACGGCCCAGACUCCUACGGGAGGCAGCAGUAGGGAAUCUUCGGCAAUGGACGAAAGUCUGACCGAGCAACGCCGCGUGAGUGAAGAAGGUUUUCGGAUCGUAAAGCUCUGUUGUAAGAGAAGAACGGGUGUGAGAGUGGAAAGUUCACACUGUGACGGUAUCUUACCAGAAAGGGACGGCUAACUACGUG